Molecule: unclassified non-coding RNA, 203 nt
Filed under: uncultured Russulaceae
Lineage: Eukaryota; Fungi; Basidiomycota; Agaricomycetes; Russulales; Russulaceae
Description: sequence contains ITS1
Source: RNAcentral
UUGUAUAACGGAGAUGCCUAGGGCUGUCGCUGACCUCUAUAGGUCGUGCACGCCUGAAGGUGCUCUCUCACAUCCAUCUCACCCCUUUGUGCAUCACCGCGUGUGCUCCUCUAUUGGGCUUGUUCCAAAGGAGGGUUCACGUUUUUAUAUGAACACCAUUAUGUGUAGAAUGUCUUACUUUUUGUGAUUAUACACAAACAAUA